AACGAACGCUGGCGGCAGGCCUAACACAUGCAAGUCGAGCGAGGACUUCGGUCCUAGCGGCGGACGGGUGAGUAACGCGUGGGAACGUGCCCCUUGGUACGGAAUAGCCCCGGGAAACUGGGAGUAAUACCGUAUGAGCUCUACGGAGGAAAGAUUUAUCGCCAAGGGAUCGGCCCGCGUUGGAUUAGGUAGUUGGUGGGGUAAUGGCCUACCAAGCCGACGAUCCAUAGCUGGUUUGAGAGGAUGAUCAGCCACACUGGGACUGAGACACGGCCCAGACUCAUACGGGAGGCAGCAGUGGGGAAUCUUAGACAAUGGGCGCAAGCCUGAUCUAGCCAUGCCGCGUGAGCGAUGAAGGCCUUAGGGUUGUAAAGCUCUUUCAGCUGGGAAGAUAAUGACUGUACCAGCAGAAGAAGCCCCGGCUAACUCCGUGCCAGCCGCCGCAGUAA
This 449-nucleotide ribosomal RNA is filed under the name uncultured bacterium. RNAcentral's name for it is "partial 16S ribosomal RNA". It matches the Rfam family "Bacterial small subunit ribosomal RNA", at positions 29 to 523 of the family's 1533-position model. The record is from RNAcentral.